UGGGGAAUUUUGCACAAUGGGCGCAAGCCUGAUGCAGCGACGCCGCGUGAGGGAUGAAGGCCUUCGGGUUGUAAACCUUUUUCGCUCAUGGUCAAGCCGCAGCUUUGGGUUGUGGUGAGGGUAGUGGGUAAAGAAGCGCCGGCUAACUACGUGCCAGCAGCCGCGGUAAUACGUAGGGCGCGAGCGUUGUCCGGAAUUAUUGGGCGUAAAAGGCUUGUAGGCGGUUGGCCGCGUCUGCCGUGAAAUCCUCUGGCUUAACUGGGGGCGUGCGGUGGGUACGGGUUGACUUGAGUGCGGUAGGGGAGACUGGAAUUCCUGGUGUAGCGGUGGAAUGCGCAGAUAUCAGGAGGAACACCGGUGGCGAAGGCGGGUCUCUGGGCCGUUACUGACGCUGAGGAGCGAAAGCGUGGGGAGCGAACAGG
This 422-nucleotide ribosomal RNA is filed under the name bacterium. Its description in RNAcentral is "partial 16S ribosomal RNA". It matches the Rfam family "Bacterial small subunit ribosomal RNA", at positions 355 to 776 of the family's 1533-position model. The record is from RNAcentral.